This 855-nucleotide ribosomal RNA is filed under the name Phellinus sp. YD-2015. RNAcentral describes it as "eukaryotic LSU rRNA". The stretch from base 322 to 475 matches the Rfam family "5.8S ribosomal RNA". Lineage: Eukaryota; Fungi; Basidiomycota; Agaricomycetes; Hymenochaetales; Hymenochaetaceae. The record is from RNAcentral.
UAGAGGAAGUAAAAGUCGUAACAAGGUUUCCGUAGGUGAACCUGCGGAAGGAUCAUUAACGAGUUUGAAAUCGAGAGCCUGUUGCUGGUGCGGAAACGUACAUCGUGCACGGCUCCCGUGCUCAAUCCAUUUCAACCCCCUUGUGCACCUUAUCGAAGUCAGUAGUCUUUCUCUUUUUGUUUGCCGGUUGUGUGCGGGAACCUCUUUCUGUUCACUUGGCCGGCGAGGAGAAAUAGAGGGUCGAAAGCUUUGACUUUUCUGUUAAACACUUUGUAUGUCUUGUGGAACGUAUUAGCUCCUUUGUAGGGGCGAAAUAAAUACAACUUUCAACAACGGAUCUCUUGGCUCUCGCAUCGAUGAAGAACGCAGCGAAAUGCGAUAAGUAAUGUGAAUUGCAGAAUUCAGUGAAUCAUCGAAUCUUUGAACGCACCUUGCGCCCCUUGGUAUUCCGAGGGGCAUGCCUGUUUGAGUGUCAUGUUAAUCUCAAACCCCUUGUCUUUUUUGUUGACUUGGUCGGUUUGGACUUGGAGGUGUUGCUGGCGUGCGUCGGCUCCUCUUAAUUGCAUUAGCUGGACUUUGGUUCGCAUUUGACGGUGUAAUAGUAAAGUGUUCGCCGGGCGUGCUUGCCUAACGGGUCUGCUUCUAAUCGUCUUCGGACAACUCUGUUCAUUUUGACCUUUGACCUCAAAUCAGGUAGGACUACCCGCUGAACUUAAGCAUAUCAAUAAGCGGAGGAAAAGAAACUAACAAGGAUUCCCCUAGUAACUGCGAGUGAAGCGGGAAGAGCUCAAAUUUAAAAUCUGGCGGCUUUCGGUCGUCCGAGUUGUAAUCUGGAGAGGCAUUUUCCGCGCUGGA